AGAGUUUGAUCCUGGCUCAGAUUGAACGCUGGCGGAAUGCUUUACACAUGCAAGUCGGGCGGCAGCAUGGACUUCGGUCUGAUGGCGAGCGGCGAACGGGUGAGUAAUGCAUCGGAACGUACCCAGUCGUGGGGGAUAACGUAGCGAAAGUUACGCUAAUACCGCAUACGUCCUACGGGAGAAAGCAGGGGAUCGCAAGACCUUGCGCGAUUGGAGCGGCCGAUGUCUGAUUAGCUAGUUGGUGGGGUAAAGGCUCACCAAGGCGACGAUCAGUAGCGGGUCUGAGAGGAUGAUCCGCCACACUGGAACUGAGACACGGUCCAGACUCCUACGGGAGGCAGCAGUGGGGAAUUUUGGACAAUGGGGGCAACCCUGAUCCAGCCAUUCCGCGUGAGUGAAGAAGGCCUUCGGGUUGUAAAGCUCUUUCGGCAGGAACGAAACGGUUACGGCUAAUACCCGUGACUACUGACGGUACCUGAAGAAGAAGCACCGGCUAACUACGUGCCAGCAGCCGCGGUAAUACGUAGGGUGCGAGCGUUAAUCGGAAUUACUGGGCGUAAAGCGUGCGCAGGCGGCUUUUUAAGCCAGAUGUGAAAUCCCCGGGCUUAACCUGGGAACUGCAUUUGGAACUGGAAGGCUAGAGUGCGGCAGAGGGGGGUAGAAUUCCACGUGUAGCAGUGAAAUGCGUAGAGAUGUGGAGGAAUACCGAUGGCGAAGGCAGCCCCCUGGGUCGACACUGACGCUCAUGCACGAAAGCGUGGGGAGCAAACAGGAUUAGAUACCCUGUUAGUCCACGCCCU
RNAcentral lists this ribosomal RNA (800 nucleotides) under uncultured bacterium. RNAcentral describes it as "bacterial SSU rRNA". It matches the Rfam family "Bacterial small subunit ribosomal RNA", at positions 8 to 803 of the family's 1533-position model. The record is from RNAcentral.